CCUACGGGAGGCAGCAGUGGGGAAUAUUGCACAAUGGGGGAAACCCUGAUGCAGCGACGCCGCGUGAGUGAGGAAGUAUUUCGGUAUGUAAAGCUCUAUCAGCAGGGAAGAAAAUGACGGUACCUGACUAAGAAGCCCCGGCUAUCUACGUGCCAGAAGCCGCGGUAAUAGGUGGGGGGCAGCGUUAUCCGGGAGUACUGGGUGGAAAGGGAGCGUAGACGGGUAAUUAAGUCAGAAGUGAAAGCCCAGGGCUCAACCGUGGGAGUGCUUUUGAAACUGAGUAGCUUGAGUGCAGGAGAGGUAAGCGGAAUUCCUAGUGUAGCGGUGAAAUGCGUAGAUAUUAGGAGGAACACCAGUGGCGAAGGCGGCUUACUGGACUGUAACUGACGUUGAGGCUCGAAAGCGUGGGGAGCAAACAGGAUUAGAUACCCGGGUAGUC
This 439-nucleotide ribosomal RNA is filed under the name uncultured bacterium. RNAcentral's name for it is "partial 16S ribosomal RNA". It matches the Rfam family "Bacterial small subunit ribosomal RNA", at positions 338 to 795 of the family's 1533-position model. The record is from RNAcentral.